CUUUUAAGAAGUGAACAACCAAGUUAUUUGCCUGGAAAAGUCUCCUGAAAUACUGAAGUUAUGCUAAAGAAGGAGAAGAGAAAGGAAGCUGCAGUCCCUCUAUAACUCCUAAAUUUUUAAUUUGGAGUUCCUCUUCUUUGGUGCAACAAUCUUUCUGCAUGCACAGAUCCAUGUGGCACUCAUCUCAUCAUUCUGAGGGAAGAAAGAUGCAUGGGGAAUGUUGCAUGUGGUUAUUUCUAUUUCUCUCAAGUGCACAUUAUCCAUCAAGAAGAUUUAAAUCAUUUUGAAAUAUUUAUAUAAUGAUCAAAAAUUAACUUUUAUACAUGUUAUUAGGCAGAACCCACAGAAAACAAUAAAGCAGGAGAGAAAAGAGGAUGGCAGUUUACUCAGGAAACAUAGGUUGUGCAAAGCUUUGCAAUGAUACUCUCAAUUCAGAGCAAUGAAGAACAGAAUUCU
Molecule: long non-coding RNA, 456 nt
Filed under: Pan troglodytes (chimpanzee)
Lineage: Eukaryota; Metazoa; Chordata; Mammalia; Primates; Hominidae
Description: lincRNA
Source: RNAcentral